Molecule: long non-coding RNA, 210 nt
Filed under: Olea europaea (common olive)
Lineage: Eukaryota; Viridiplantae; Streptophyta; Magnoliopsida; Lamiales; Oleaceae
Description: long non-coding RNA (OEUR_LNC015392)
Source: RNAcentral
CGGGCUUUAAAAAGAAAAAACACACAAUUGAUGAUUGAACUUCACUAUGAUUCUAAGUCAAGUGCAUUGUACGUGCAUAGCAUGUGUUUUGUUGAUAAAAGAAGACAAACAUAAGUGACUUCAUGUGCAACUUUAGAAAGUGGAAACAUGAGAGAAGCUGUAAAGCUACCAGUCGAGGAGGAUAUAAAUUAAUGCUUGUCGCCAUCACUG